RNAcentral lists this long non-coding RNA (265 nucleotides) under Mytilus galloprovincialis (Mediterranean mussel). Lineage: Eukaryota; Metazoa; Mollusca; Bivalvia; Mytilida; Mytilidae. The record is from RNAcentral.
UGGGGGGGGGCUAGGAUGAAAAAUUUUGUCCUGUUUUUUUUUUUAGUUGUAAUCCCUGUCCUGCCUUUUUAUUUUUUACUCUAUUCGGUCCUGCCUUUUUUUUACUAGUUUAUCCUGACUUUUUUUACACAAAUUGUCAUCCUGCCUUUUUUUUUUUACCAAGUUGCUCAUCCUGCCUUUUUUUUAACUCAAAACUCCUGUCCUGCCUAUUUUUUUCAAAUUUCAUCCUAGCCCCCCCAUAAAAAUCAAAUGGUAGCUCCCUAAU